AGUGAACGCUGGCGGUAGGCCUAACACAUGCAGGUCGAACGGCAGCACAGUAAGAGCUUGCUCUUACGGGUGGCGAGUGGCGGACGGGUGAGGUAUACAUCGGAAUCUACUUUUUCGUGGGGGAUAACGUAGGGAAACUUACUCUAAUACCGCAUACGACCUACGGGUGAAAGCAGGGGAUCUUCGGACCUUGCGCGAUUGCAUGAGCCGAUGUCGGAUUAGCUAGUUGGCGGGGUAAAGGCCCACCAAGGCGACGAUCCGUAGCUGGUCUGAGAGGAUGAUCAGCCACACUGGAACGGAGACACGGUCCAGACUCCUACGGGAGGAAGCAGAGGGGAAUAUUGGACAAUGGGGGCAAGCCUGAUCCAGACAUACCGCGUGGGUGAAGAAGGCCUUCGGGUUGUAAAGCCCUUUUGUUGGGAAAGAAAAGCAGCAGGUUAAUACCCCGCUGUUCUGACGGUACCCAAAGAAUAAGCACCGGCUAACUUCGUG
RNAcentral lists this ribosomal RNA (492 nucleotides) under uncultured bacterium. Its description in RNAcentral is "partial 16S ribosomal RNA". It matches the Rfam family "Bacterial small subunit ribosomal RNA", at positions 29 to 507 of the family's 1533-position model. The record is from RNAcentral.